GCCUGAGUGGCUCAGUCGAUUAAGCAUCUGACUUCGGCUCAGGUCAUGAUCUCACAGUUUGUGAGUUCAAGCCCCACAUCUGGCU
Molecule: transfer RNA, 85 nt
Filed under: Felis catus (domestic cat)
Lineage: Eukaryota; Metazoa; Chordata; Mammalia; Carnivora; Felidae
Rfam family: tRNA
About the family: Transfer RNA (tRNA) molecules are approximately 80 nucleotides in length. Their secondary structure includes four short double-helical elements and three loops (D, anti-codon, and T loops). Further hydrogen bonds mediate the characteristic L-shaped molecular structure. tRNAs have two regions of fundamental functional importance: the anti-codon, which is responsible for specific mRNA codon recognition, and the 3' end, to which the tRNAs corresponding amino acid is attached (by aminoacyl-tRNA synthetases). tRNAs cope with the degeneracy of the genetic code in two manners: having more than one tRNA (with a specific anti-codon) for a particular amino acid; and 'wobble' base-pairing, i.e. permitting non-standard base-pairing at the 3rd anti-codon position.
Source: Rfam by way of RNAcentral